RNAcentral lists this ribosomal RNA (316 nucleotides) under Pleurotus sp. PLHP-11. RNAcentral's name for it is "partial small subunit ribosomal RNA". Lineage: Eukaryota; Fungi; Basidiomycota; Agaricomycetes; Agaricales; Pleurotaceae. The record is from RNAcentral.
CCGUGAUGGACUAACCGUCUGUCGCUGGGAAGAAGCUUAACUUGGGGGAAACUGCCACGAAAAUAAAACUUUAAUCUAAGUUUGCCUUUCUUUGAUUUUGUUAUUUUAGAAAUUUAAAUUAUUAAUUUAAUUUUUUCCUAGUCCCUUAUCCUAAAGAUGAGGAGACAUAGGUAGGUAGUUUUUAUUUAUAUAUUUUUAUUUUAGUAUAAAAAAUAAUAAUUUUUGCAUUAAAAAAACACUUAUAUUAAGCUAUUUAGUAUCUGUUAACCCAUUUAAGUAACAUCUCAAAAGUCAUAGCAAGGUAGCUUGUACUGGG